GACGAACGCUGGCGGCGUGCUUAACACAUGCAAGUCGAGCGGUAAGGCCCUUUCGGGGGUACGACGAGCGGCGAACGGGUGAGUAACACGUGGGUGACCUGCCUUUAGCUCUGGGAUAAGCCUGGGAAACCGGGUCUAAUACCGGAUAUGACUCCGCGGCGCAUGUUGUGGGGUGGAAAGCCUUGUGCGGCUGGAGAUGGGCCCGCGGCCUAUCAGCUUGUUGGUGGGGUGAUGGCCUACCAAGGCGACGACGGGUAGCCGGCCUGAGAGGGCGACCGGCCACACUGGGACUGAGACACGGCCCAGACUCCUACGGGAGGCAGCAGUGGGGAAUCUUGCGCAAUGAGCGAAAGCCUGACGCAGCGACGCCGCGUGAGGGAUGACGGCCUU
RNAcentral lists this ribosomal RNA (390 nucleotides) under uncultured bacterium. RNAcentral's name for it is "bacterial SSU rRNA". It matches the Rfam family "Bacterial small subunit ribosomal RNA", at positions 28 to 418 of the family's 1533-position model. The record is from RNAcentral.